RNAcentral lists this long non-coding RNA (1044 nucleotides) under Falco tinnunculus (common kestrel). RNAcentral describes it as "lncRNA (ENSFTIG00000008453.1)". Lineage: Eukaryota; Metazoa; Chordata; Aves; Falconiformes; Falconidae. The record is from RNAcentral.
UUUUCCUGCUCUGCGUCUCUGGGAACUGGAACCCGCAGGACCUAGAGCCUUCUGUUGCCUGGGUGGUUCUGAUUGCUGGCAGUUCUGUAAUACAACUUUAAUCUGAGCAAUUGAGGCUGGUCCUACAUUAUCUUCAGACGUCUUGCGGAGGACUCCUGUUACCCGUUUGGUACUCAAAAGCCACACGCCACCAUCAGAAGUCACUUUUUUCUUUUUUUUUUUCCAAAGGCAGUGAUAGAUUAACCUCUCUAGAUCUAAUGGAAAAAUUAUAAUUGCAAUGCAACUUUCUAAUAAAUUGUUCAUAUAUUCAUAAUUCUGUUGCAGUCCCAAAUUGGAGAAGAGAUCUGUUAAAGCCAGGGCGUGGGAUGGGAAUCCAGCUGCUACGAGGAGUCUCUCCAGUCCCGGUGAGAGGCGAGAUGCCCGGCGGUGCUGCCGCAGUCCUGCCGUCCCUAGCACUGACUGCAGUUGGAGCUCCGUGAGAUGGUGCACUGGUGUACCAAGCCUCAGAACCACUGCUUUCUCCAGCUCAUAGGAUGCUUUUUCGAGACUGUGGAUAUGUGUAUGUGUACUGCUGUGUUGAUAAGUAAAUGCCAACGAUGGAGUUCGUUGCUUUUAUACAUCCCAAAGAGAAGUUCCUCACCGUUCAUUUUCUGUUUUCUGACCGAAAAGGCGUGUGUUUGUGAACAGUGUUCACGCAAGUUCUGCCAUCCCACUCCCACAUCAGCUUAUACCAAUGCCAGGAUGGGAGGAUUUGCCUGUGUACCUUCCCCAAAACACCCUGGUCCGCAGUGGCAUCGUCAGGGAGCAGUUCAAACGUGUCCUUUGGGCUUUGUGUAAAGCAAAUGCAGAACAAGAAAAAUCGAGAUGUUAAAUCCAUUAGAAAACAAAUUCCUUAUUGUACAGUAGUAUGGAGAUCUCUAGUCAACCUGCCAUUAAUAAUAGAUUCUUAUUUUUUUGAAUGAUCUAUUUAAAAGAACAGCAAGCAUUGUAUUUGCUAGUAAAUCUGAAGUGUUUACAUGGAAUUACUAAAUAAAUUAUUUGAUC